GAAUAUGAGGUGAUCAGCUGGGCCAUCUGUCACCCACUGGUUACCAGGGCUGGUCAUUAGACUGAUAUGGCUGCUUCACUGGGUGUUCUCUUCCCUCCUCACAGUUCCAAGUAUACCUUCCUGGCAGCCAAGGGCUCAGGUCAGGAGGACGACUUUUCCCCCAUAGAGAAAGACAGCUUUUUAAUUAAAAUAUAGGAAUAUCUGUGCUCCCCACUAAAACCUCCAAACAAACUCGAAAGAAAUUAGAAGUCUAAGGGUGUUAUGGUUGUGUUGUGAGACCUUUUUGUUUUGGUGCUGGGAUCAAACCCAGGGCCUUAUUAAU
Molecule: small nuclear RNA, 322 nt
Filed under: Rattus norvegicus (Norway rat)
Lineage: Eukaryota; Metazoa; Chordata; Mammalia; Rodentia; Muridae
Description: 7SK RNA
Rfam family: 7SK RNA
About the family: 7SK was discovered as an abundant small nuclear RNA in the mid-70s but a possible function has only recently been suggested.
Source: Rfam by way of RNAcentral